GAAGGAUCUAUAUAAAUUUCACCGAGCAUGCUGAGGUCCAUACUCAACCAAGAGCAUGGAUUGUGUUGAUCUUACGGUAGCAACAGAAAAUGAGGAAUACCAUGACCCAGCGCGACGUCUUCAACAAGUAAAUGCCGAGCUGCUGGAGGUGAUCACGCCUUUCAAUGGGAGCUUCAGUACCUGCUCGAGUCUGCUGUUCCAGAUUGCUGUUGUGGUUAAGUUCGAAGCCCAUAAAGUGCAUCACAAUUCUAUGUGUCUUCCUUCUCGAUGUCGAUGCGGUGCUGUGUCACUUGCCUCAGGCAGAACAGGAAAUUGAGACCCUGCUGGGAAGACAGCGCAACUUGUUGGAAAUAAAGGAGAAGCUUUCGGAACAGAUUGCCGCAGAUCAACGCGCCCCCAG
RNAcentral lists this long non-coding RNA (400 nucleotides) under Coccomyxa subellipsoidea. RNAcentral describes it as "long non-coding RNA (CSUB_LNC000641)". Lineage: Eukaryota; Viridiplantae; Chlorophyta; Trebouxiophyceae; Coccomyxaceae. The record is from RNAcentral.